CUGAACAACAACAACAGCAACAAGUGAAAAUAAUGUUAAACAAUCGCGAAGCAAUUAACAGUUAAACUGAAUUAGAGUUUGUUUUGAGUUUCUUUUUUCAAUUCCAUGAUGAAAUUUACUCUGAAUUUCCCCCUGAUAAUGACGAUGGCGAUCAUGAUUCUCAGUAGAUUGAACCACUCGAAAAACGGUGAUCUAUUCAAAGCAUUUCAUUAUCAUAAUCAAUGAAUUAACAAUAAUUCAAAUGAUGUCUGAUGACAUCCAAGGGCAUCCUCAUCAUCAACACACCAUCAAUUUCAGAUCUUUAUGAAUGUAACAAUAAUAACGAUAAACAAUAAAAGUAACUUUUUCUAUUGAUAA
Molecule: long non-coding RNA, 357 nt
Organism: Panonychus citri (citrus red mite)
Lineage: Eukaryota; Metazoa; Arthropoda; Arachnida; Trombidiformes; Tetranychidae
Exons: 2
Source: RefSeq, a predicted model, not a curated record